AGCUCAACUCCAGAACUGCCUUUGAUACUGAGGAUCUUGAGUUCGGGAGAGGUGAGUGGAACUGCGAGUGUAGAGGUGAAAUUCGUAGAUAUUCGCAAGAACACCAGUGGCGAAGGCGGCUCACUGGCCCGAUACUGACGCUGAGGCACGAAAGCGUGGGGAGCAAACAGGAUUAGAUACCCUGGUAGUCCACGCCGUAGACGAUGAAUGCCAGCCGUUAGUGGGUUUACUCACUAGUGGCGCAGCUAGACGCUUUAAGCAUUCCGCCUGGGGAGUACGGUCGCAAGAUUAAAACUCAGAAGGAAUGUGACGGGGGCCCGCACAAGCGGUGGAGCAUGUGGUUUAAUUCGACGCGACGCGCAGAACCUUACC
RNAcentral lists this ribosomal RNA (372 nucleotides) under uncultured bacterium. RNAcentral's name for it is "bacterial SSU rRNA". It matches the Rfam family "Bacterial small subunit ribosomal RNA", at positions 606 to 975 of the family's 1533-position model. The record is from RNAcentral.